AACAAUUGACAGCAGAGAAAACCGCCUGUAGAAGGGUGUCUUCUGCGUUGAUUUUUUUUAGUGAUCGGCUUCCAACUGCGUAAAUCAGUUUCAUUUUAUUAUUAUUAUGUUUACCUGGUAUAUAUUUAUUGGUCAACUAAUUAUAUCACCAACUGUAUAUUACGUUAAACGUAACUUAAAGAUGUCUUAAAAUAAAUUACCUCUUUAAAAUAAAUUAUUUUGUAAAAAUUGGUAUAGCAUAAUUUUAUUAGUUACGUG
RNAcentral lists this long non-coding RNA (258 nucleotides) under Citrus maxima (pomelo). Its description in RNAcentral is "long non-coding RNA (CMAX_LNC001833)". Lineage: Eukaryota; Viridiplantae; Streptophyta; Magnoliopsida; Sapindales; Rutaceae. The record is from RNAcentral.